This 497-nucleotide ribosomal RNA is filed under the name uncultured bacterium. RNAcentral describes it as "bacterial SSU rRNA". It matches the Rfam family "Bacterial small subunit ribosomal RNA", at positions 15 to 507 of the family's 1533-position model. The record is from RNAcentral.
GAUCAUGGCUCAGAUUGAACGCUGGCGGCAUGCUUUACACAUGCAAGUCGAACGGUAACAGGGAGCUUGCUCCGCUGACGAGUGGCGAACGGGUGAGUAAUGCAUCGGAACGUGCCGUGUAGUGGGGGAUAACGUAGCGAAAGUUACGCUAAUACCGCAUACGCCCCGAGGGGGAAAGUGGGGGACCGCAAGGCCUCACGCUAUACGAGCGGCCGAUGUCGGAUUAGCUAGUUGGUAGGGUAAAGGCCUACCAAGGCGACGAUCCGUAGCGGGUCUGAGAGGAUGAUCCGCCACACUGGGACUGAGACACGGCCCAGACUCCUACGGGAGGCAGCAGUGGGGAAUUUUGGACAAUGGGCGCAAGCCUGAUCCAGCCAUGCCGCGUGAGUGAAGAAGGCCUUCGGGUUGUAAAGCUCUUUCAGACGGAAAGAAAUCGGUGUGUCUAAUACACGCACUGGAUGACGGUACCGUAAGAAGAAGCACCGGCUAACUACGUG